AAUUUGAUUCCCUAGGAC
Molecule: transfer RNA, 18 nt
Filed under: Varanus rudicollis (roughneck monitor)
Lineage: Eukaryota; Metazoa; Chordata; Lepidosauria; Squamata; Varanidae
Description: partial tRNA-Thr
Source: RNAcentral